UAAGUAUUAGCAGUGGAACAGCCCAAGCUGCUACUCUGCCAAUGGAGUAGCCAUUCUUUAUUCUUUUGCUUUCUUAAUAAACUUGUUUUCACUUUACUCUAUGGAUUCUCCUCAGAUUCUUUCUUGUGUGAGAUCCAAGAACCCUCUCUUAGGGUCUAGAUUGGCACUUCUUUCUGGUAACAUCUUCCUGGUGACCAUGAAGGGACAACACUGAAGAGAUGCUUGACCUGGAGGAAAUAGACUACAGCACCAAUUGGCCAACUUCGGGUAACUGUUGGGGUACAUUUUACCCAGGUAAAGGAUGGAAUUGGGUUAGAUGCCCAACUUAGAGGAGUCAGAGCUGCUUCUAAGACAGUGCGGGUUAAAGGACCCUCUUAAUAAAAGCUUCCGAGAAACUCAGAGUCAAACUUGAAUUCCACCACUGCAAAGAGCACAGGACCCUGAGGCAAACGUUGUAUAUUCCCAAGUCAUCCCUGGCACCACCUUCAUUUACUGCACCAGGCUUUCUUCACUGUGAUGAUGUUCUCUCUCUCUCUUUUAAUCCUGUUUUACUCUGCACAUUUCUGCAAGCCACAAAAGUACUCCUUGAAGAAUGGAUAACAUAUAAACAAGUGAACAAACAAAUCAGACAGGUGACUUUUGGCCUUCUUCCAAGUGAUGUGCCAUGAAGAACUUCUACUGAGUUCUACAAGAGCAUUCUGGGAGUGUUUCCCAAGACAAAGCUGACUUCUAGGUAGCUAUGGGGAGUGCCUACAAGCCUGGGCUGCAGUGAAAGUCAACAGGAUGGACUGGAAGAGCCAGAAGUCUGUGUGGGAAGUGUCAGCCCCUUCCUGCUGCUUCCUUCCCUUGGUUGGGGUAAAUGCUCCACUUCUUCCUCUGGGCCUCAGUUUUCUCAUCAGAAUAAUGAGAAGAGAUGCUUACUGGUUAGGUCUGCUUAGGAAGAGACAAAGACAAGUAUAGAACUUGCCCUGUAAGAGCAACCCAAGCCUAGCUGACCACAUGGAAGGACAGCUCUCCCUACUUCCAAAUCUUUCCCUUUCUUCCUUUCUCUCUUGCUUGCUUUCCUUCUUUCCUUCCUUCCUUUUUUCUUUCUCUUUCCUUCAUUCCUUUAUUUCUUUCUCUUUCUUUAUGGAGUCUUGCUCUGUUGCCCAGUAUCCAUUCAACUGUGGAUGAACAUCUGGGCUGCUCUCACCUUUUGGCUAUUAUGAAUAAUGUUGUUAUGAACCCAAUGGGUGUACAACUAUGUUUGAAUCCUGUUUUCCAUUUUUUGGGAUAGAUGCCUAGAAAUUAAAUUGCAGGACCAUGAACAUUGUUGUUGUUGUUGUUGUUUUUCUGAGAUGGAGUCUUACUCUGUUGCCCAGGCUAGAGUGUAGUGGCACAAUCUCGGCUCACUACAACCUCCACCUCCUGGGUUCAAGCUAUUCUCCUGCCUCAGCCUCCCAAGUAGCUGAGAUUACAGGUGUGUGCCAUCACACCUGGCUAAUUUUUUGUAUUUUUGAUAGAGACGAGUUUUCACCAUGUUGGCCAAGCUGGUCUCAAACUCCUGACCUCAAGUAAUUUGCCCACCUCGGCCUCCCAAAGUGCUGGGAUUAUAGGUGUGAGCCACUGCGCCUGGCCCAUGAACAUUUUUUAAAGUGUUUUUAUUGCUGAAAAUCUUUUGCAGCCACCAGAGUAGAGUGGACAGGAAAAAAGUCUCAUGUACCCAUCACCCAGCUUCGACCAUUACCAAUUGAUGGCCAAACUUGUUCCCUCCAUACGCUACUCCCUCCACCACCAGAGCUCUUUAAAACAAACUGAAAACAUCAUCUGAUGUUUUCACUCAUAAGUAUUUUAAAGUCUAAUUCUAGCAGAAAUGAUUUAGAUGCUUCUUAAAGAGUAACGUAUAUUGAGUGCCUAAUUAUUAAACACCAAUAUGGGUAAAUACUCAUUGAAUAAUUAGUCAUCAUUUUUUGAAACUUUGUUUAAAAUUGUAGCCUUUUCAAUAAAUAUUUUAUUAUUUUCAAACAUGCUAUAGACUAGAGAAAAUUGAACAAAGAAUCCCAGUAUGCCGUCACCCAGCUUCAAAUUCUAUCCAUAGCAAAAUAAUAUUCUCUUGAAAAAUGUAAGUGCUAGGUUGCUCAGAUGAUAUAAUGACACUUUAUUCCUCUGUAGGAGAGGAGAGGGACUGGAAUGGAAGUGACAACGGGGAGAACCUUUUAAUUCUGGAAAGGUGUAUUACUCACGACUAAAAGCACGUAUUUUAAAAUCACUGAAUCUUUGGUGUAAAUGCACAUGAAUAUCAGUCUGAGUUCUCAGCCACAAUGUGAGUUGUGGUUUAUCUGAGCUCACCUGUCUUUCCUGUCUGGCCCAAGUCCGGGUGACUUUCAGCUUUCCCAAGCUAAAUAGUUAUUUACAGAAAAAACAAGUUGACAUUAAACUAAAGAGAGUGACUCAGAAGUCAUCUCUCCUUUUAUCAUAAGCACAGAAAAUGUGCAGUCACAAAUUGAUGUUGUGCAGAUAGAUGUCCAACUUUUUAUUUAAUUAGGAAUUUGUACAAAUGAUUUUAUAGACAGAGGCCUUUUCCAGUUUCUUUGUCAAUGAUUUCAUCCCUUGGCUUUUAUUGCACAGCAAAUCACUCCCAAAAUUUAGUGGCUUAAAACUCUUCCAUCAUCAUGAUAAAAGAGUUUUCCUUGUUAGAUAUCAAAACCUAUUUGUAUGCCAUUGAUUCUAAGCCAUUUUAUUAUCUUGAAAUGAGGCUGCCUCUAGCAAUCUAUGACAUUGUAUAACUUGUUGUUCACCAGCAAUCAUCAUGACAUUUGUUGCUGCCUUGACAAAAUUGAAUUUCAUCAUGGCUGUUCACAUUAUCAUAACUUCAAUUCAAUUGUGUGGGUGUAUUAGUAUAUGUAUGUGUUGCGUUAAGCAAUCUUCAAGAAGGUUACACUACAAUUAUUCAUGGAAAUGAGAAGUUAUUGUGUAUCUAGAAAGGUGCUGAAACAGAUCAGUUGGGUAGAAAAUUGUUAUUUGUGAAACAAAUGUUCAUUGUUGGAGAAAUGACCUUGAUUAAAUAGAUAUUUCCCUUGCA
Molecule: long non-coding RNA, 3061 nt
Organism: Callithrix jacchus (white-tufted-ear marmoset)
Lineage: Eukaryota; Metazoa; Chordata; Mammalia; Primates; Cebidae
Source: RefSeq, a predicted model, not a curated record